This 72-nucleotide transfer RNA is filed under the name Camelus bactrianus (Bactrian camel). It matches the Rfam family "tRNA". Rfam says of the family: Transfer RNA (tRNA) molecules are approximately 80 nucleotides in length. Their secondary structure includes four short double-helical elements and three loops (D, anti-codon, and T loops). RNAcentral also lists the same sequence under 2 other names. The record is from Rfam by way of RNAcentral. Lineage: Eukaryota; Metazoa; Chordata; Mammalia; Artiodactyla; Camelidae.
GAGAGUGUAGCUCAGGGGCAGAGUGCAUGCUUAGCAUGCAUGAGGUCCUGGGUUCAAUCCCCAGGACCUCCA